RNAcentral lists this ribosomal RNA (1164 nucleotides) under Klebsiella pneumoniae CHS 19. Its description in RNAcentral is "bacterial SSU rRNA". It matches the Rfam family "Bacterial small subunit ribosomal RNA", at positions 8 to 1164 of the family's 1533-position model. Lineage: Bacteria; Pseudomonadati; Pseudomonadota; Gammaproteobacteria; Enterobacterales; Enterobacteriaceae. The record is from RNAcentral.
AGAGUUUGAUCAUGGCUCAGAUUGAACGCUGGCGGCAGGCCUAACACAUGCAAGUCGAGCGGUAGCACAGAGAGCUUGCUCUCGGGUGACGAGCGGCGGACGGGUGAGUAAUGUCUGGGAAACUGCCUGAUGGAGGGGGAUAACUACUGGAAACGGUAGCUAAUACCGCAUAAUGUCGCAAGACCAAAGUGGGGGACCUUCGGGCCUCAUGCCAUCAGAUGUGCCCAGAUGGGAUUAGCUAGUAGGUGGGGUAACGGCUCACCUAGGCGACGAUCCCUAGCUGGUCUGAGAGGAUGACCAGCCACACUGGAACUGAGACACGGUCCAGACUCCUACGGGAGGCAGCAGUGGGGAAUAUUGCACAAUGGGCGCAAGCCUGAUGCAGCCAUGCCGCGUGUGUGAAGAAGGCCUUCGGGUUGUAAAGCACUUUCAGCGGGGAGGAAGGCGUUAAGGUUAAUAACCUUGGCGAUUGACGUUACCCGCAGAAGAAGCACCGGCUAACUCCGUGCCAGCAGCCGCGGUAAUACGGAGGGUGCAAGCGUUAAUCGGAAUUACUGGGCGUAAAGCGCACGCAGGCGGUCUGUCAAGUCGGAUGUGAAAUCCCCGGGCUCAACCUGGGAACUGCAUUCGAAACUGGCAGGCUAGAGUCUUGUAGAGGGGGGUAGAAUUCCAGGUGUAGCGGUGAAAUGCGUAGAGAUCUGGAGGAAUACCGGUGGCGAAGGCGGCCCCCUGGACAAAGACUGACGCUCAGGUGCGAAAGCGUGGGGAGCAAACAGGAUUAGAUACCCUGGUAGUCCACGCCGUAAACGAUGUCGAUUUGGAGGUUGUGCCCUUGAGGCGUGGCUUCCGGAGCUAACGCGUUAAAUCGACCGCCUGGGGAGUACGGCCGCAAGGUUAAAACUCAAAUGAAUUGACGGGGGCCCGCACAAGCGGUGGAGCAUGUGGUUUAAUUCGAUGCAACGCGAAGAACCUUACCUGGUCUUGACAUCCACAGAACUUAGCAGAGAUGCUUUGGUGCCUUCGGGAACUGUGAGACAGGUGCUGCAUGGCUGUCGUCAGCUCGUGUUGUGAAAUGUUGGGUUAAGUCCCGCAACGAGCGCAACCCUUAUCCUUUGUUGCCAGCGGUCCGGCCGGGAACUCAAAGGAGACUGCCAGUGAUAAACU